Long non-coding RNA from Solanum verrucosum, 170 nucleotides. RefSeq lists it as uncharacterized. NCBI's taxonomy places the organism in Eukaryota, Viridiplantae, Streptophyta, Magnoliopsida, Solanales, Solanaceae. The record is from RefSeq and is a predicted model, not a curated record. The transcript has 2 exons.
AUCACCAGACACUCAGCAAUCAGAAGGUGAAACGAUUAAUUUUGGAGGUCUAAAUACAACCAUCAUUCAACUGACAACCACCUUUACAACCAUACAUGAGCUUCAUAGGUCACAUAUAAUCCAAAUUUCUAAUUUGAACCCAAUCAUGUUGCUAUCUACCAUUCAACCUG